UUCAGGUAAACUUCACAGUAGAAAGUUCACUCAGAUGUCCUUCAGGAAAGAGGUUUACAGGCAGGACAAAACCUCCAGCAGAAGGGAACCUUUGAGCCAGCUGCAUAAAAUAGAAAAAUAUUGCUAUGCAUUUUCAACUGAAGUCUAUACUUCAAAAUGAGAAGGUCAGUAGGAGUCUAUUCAGAGGCAUAUGGAUCAGGAAUUCUCAGUCUUUUAGUGAUUUUUUGUGUCAGCAAAGAGCUGGUUAUAAGACAUUGGCCCCACCUUGUUUCUAUGUCAAAACUGUAUUAAAAGAUGCAUGUAAAUACAUUAAGUGCUUUCCUAAAAUUAAUUUCCCUUGAAAGCCAUUGCAUGACUGUAACAGCAUUGUGCAGUCACUGAGGAACUUGCUACUGUUUGUUUAUGACACAUCUACAGGGGAAUUGGUAACAGCUAAGCUCACUUAACUAAGAGGUUAAAACAGCAAGCAAAACAAGGAGUUGGGCUUGAUGAUGCUGAUGAGUCCCUUACAACGCUGCAUAUUCUGUGAUUCUAUGAAAGCAUAGAGAAUAACUGCAGUGGACAACAAAUUAGUUUCUGAAUGUUACUAGCAUUUAACUAACACCUACACCUGGUAAGGCAAAGCUAUAGGGAUUGUGAGACAAGUCAUGAGACAUGAGGCUGAACAUUCACAUAAGCCUUGACAGUCACCAGGAGAAGAGAGGUUGUGAGAGACGACAUUUGGGGAGUUCAGCACCAGCUUCCAGCUUCACAUCCACUGAAUGAUGAGAGCUUUGAUGAAGAUUAAAGGGAUGACACUGAUGAAGGCUGUUACCUGGCUUUUCAGUAACUAUGUGGAAGCUGGAAGACCUAAGGCAUUUCUAAGACUGCAAAGCUACCAAGUCUGCAUAUUGUGACCAUGGGGCAAUACAGGAUGGCUCAUUCAGGACAGUUCAGCAAAUCCCAGUAUUAUGAACACAUGAAGGACGUGACCAAAGGACUCAUGGAUGUUAACAGUGAUGAGAUAACUGCCUAUACUUGUGAUUGUGACUGAUAUUUGGCUUGUCAGGAUGCCAAAGGAUGAGUGGAAUAAAUUGAAAUGGAUCAAGAACCUGUGCAAUAGGAUAUUCCAGAGUGAUAAUACUGCCAGGGUUUCAUCGUUAUUCCUGGGGUUGUUUUGAAGCCAAGCUUAUUGCUGAUUCUUCUCCACAUGGACUGAAGAAGUUCAGGGCUUCUUUCUUGAGAAAGUCAAGGAGCUAGACUUCAAAUGGGUUUUUGGGAACAAGGCAUUUUUAAAACACUGGGAAUUUUAAUGGAAGAAAAGUAGGGCUUUGAGAUGUAAUUGCUGUGACUUUAGGUCAUAGAGUGCAAGUCAAUAACAUGAACAGUCCUAGUUAUAGGAACAUAGGCAUAGUGUGUGAAGGAUGAAUCACUGAUAAUUGGUGCAACAUCCCAACAUGCACUAAAGGAAAAGGAUUAAAAGGUAAUUUG
Passer domesticus (house sparrow) is the source of this 1470-nucleotide long non-coding RNA. RefSeq lists it as uncharacterized. The transcript is spliced from 3 exons. Lineage: Eukaryota; Metazoa; Chordata; Aves; Passeriformes; Passeridae. The record is from RefSeq and is a predicted model, not a curated record.